GCCAGGUGUGGUGGUGCACACCUGUAAUCCCAAUGGCUCAGGAGGCUGAGGCAGGAAAAUUGCAAGUUCAAAGCCAGCCUUAGCAAAGUGAGGCACUAAGCGAUUCAGUGAGACCCUGUCUCUA
This 124-nucleotide small RNA is filed under the name Marmota monax (woodchuck). Lineage: Eukaryota; Metazoa; Chordata; Mammalia; Rodentia; Sciuridae. The record is from RNAcentral.